This 320-nucleotide ribosomal RNA is filed under the name uncultured eukaryote. Its description in RNAcentral is "partial 18S ribosomal RNA". It matches the Rfam family "Eukaryotic small subunit ribosomal RNA", at positions 1470 to 1796 of the family's 1831-position model. The record is from RNAcentral.
CCCUUAGAUGUUCUCGGCCGCACACGCGCUACACUGAAAGAGGCAACGUGUUUGCCUGAUUCGAAAGAAUUGGGUAACCCCCUAAUCUCUUUCGUGCUGGGGAUUGAGGUUUGCAAUUAUCCUUCAUGAACGAGGAAUUCCCAGUAAGUGCGAGUCAUUAUCUCGCGCUGACUACGUCCCUGCCCUUUGUACACACCGCCCGUCGCUACUACCGAUUGGAUGAUCCGGUGAGCUAUUCGGACCUUCGCUUCGUCGAUUUUCGGCUUUGUGAGGGAAAGUCUCGCGAACCUCAUCAUCUAGAGGAAGGAGAAGUCGUAACA